UACGGGGGGGGCAAGCGUUGUUCGGAUUCAUUGGGCGUAAAGGGUGCGUAGGUGGCGCGCUAAGUCAGGUGUGAAAUUUCGGAGCUUAACUCCGAAACUGCAUUUGAUACUGGUGUGCUUGAGGACUGGAGAGGAGACUGGAAUUCAUGGUGUAGCAGUGAAAUGCGUAGAGAUCAUGAGGAAGACCAGUGGCGAAGGCGGGUCUCUGGACAGUUCCUGACACUGAGGCACGAAGGCCAGGGGAGCAAACGGG
This 253-nucleotide ribosomal RNA is filed under the name uncultured bacterium. RNAcentral's name for it is "partial 16S ribosomal RNA". It matches the Rfam family "Bacterial small subunit ribosomal RNA", at positions 524 to 776 of the family's 1533-position model. The record is from RNAcentral.